This 1467-nucleotide ribosomal RNA is filed under the name uncultured Bordetella sp. RNAcentral's name for it is "partial 16S-23S ribosomal RNA intergenic spacer". It matches the Rfam family "Bacterial small subunit ribosomal RNA". The record is from RNAcentral. Lineage: Bacteria; Pseudomonadati; Pseudomonadota; Betaproteobacteria; Burkholderiales; Alcaligenaceae.
AGUUUGAUUAUGGCUCGACGAACGCUGGCGGGAUGCUUAUUACGCAAGUCGAAAUGGGCAGCACGGACUUGGUCUGGUGGCGAGUGGCGAACGGGUGAGCAAUGUAUCGGAACGUGCCUAGUAGUUGUGGGGAUAACUACGCGAAAGCGUAACCAAUAAUGGGCACGCCCUUCGGGGAAAGCGGGGGACCUUUCGGGCUCGCACUAUUAGAGUGUGCUGAUAUCGGAUUAGCUAGUUGGUGGGGCAACGUCCACUAAGGCGACGAUCCGUAGCUGGUUUGAGACGACCAGCCACACUGGGACUGGAGAUGACGGGCCCAGACUCCUACGGAGGCAGCAGUGGGGAAUUCUUGACAAUGAAACUCCUGAUCCAGCUCAUCCCGCGCGAUGAAGGCCUCGGGUUGUAAAGCACUUUUUGGCAGGAAAAGAAAACGGCACGGGAUAUCACCCUCAACUGACGGUACCUGGGUAAGAAUAAGCACCGGCUAACUACGUGCCAGCAGCCGCGUAAUACGUAGGGUGCAAGCGUUAAUCGGAAUUAUUGGGCGUAAAGCGCAGGGAGGGCGUUCGGGAAAGGAAAGAUGUGAAAUCCCAGAGCUUAACUUUUGAACUGCAUUUUUAACUACUGAGCUAGAGUGUCAGAGGGAGCGUGGGAUUCCGGCGUGCAGCAGUGAAAUGCGUAGAUAUGCGAUAACACCGAUACGGCCAGCCUCCUGGGAUAACACUGACGCUCAUGCACGAAAGCCGUGGGAAGGGGGAAACAGGAUUAGAUACCCAGGUAGUCCACGCCCCAAACGAUGUCAACUAGCUGUUGUGGGCCUUUCGGCCUUGGUAGCAGCUAACGCGUGAAGCUUAAUCGCCCGGGGAGUACGGUCGCAAGAUUAAAAACUCAAAGGAAUUGAUUAAUCGCACAAGCGGUGGAUGAUGUGGAUUAAUUCGAUGCCCGCGAAAAACCUACCUACCCUUGGACAUGUCUGGAAUCCCGAAGAGAUUUGGGAGUUUCGCAGAGAACCGGAACACAGGUGUCGUAUGGCUGUCGUCAGCUCGUACCAGAUGUUGUUAAGUCCUAAACGAGCGCAACCCCUUGUCAUUAGUUGUUGGCUGAAAGGGACACUUAAUGAGACUGCCGGCAGCAAACCGGAUAGCCGUGAUGACGUCAAGUCCUCAUGGCCCUUAUGGGUAGGGCUUCACACGUCAUACAAUGGUCGGGACAGAGGGUCGCCAACCCGCGAGGGGGAGCCAUCCUAGAACCCGAUCGUAGUCCGAUCGCAGUCUGCAACUCGACUGUGUGAAGUCGGAAUCGCGUAGUAAUCGCGGAUCAGCAUGUCGCGGUGAAUACGUUCCCGUGGGUCUUGUACACACCCGCCCGUCACACCAUGGGAGUGGGUUUUACCAGAAGUAGUUAGCCUAACCGUAAGGAGGGCGAUUACCACGGUAGGAUUCACAUCAGUGAAGUCGCAACAAGGUA